Pseudohyphozyma bogoriensis is the source of this 84-nucleotide non-coding RNA. The record is from the annotation of a GenBank genome assembly. Lineage: Eukaryota; Fungi; Basidiomycota; Microbotryomycetes; Chrysozymaceae.
GGACGAGCCGCCUAUUGGCAGGGUAAGCUGACUUCUAACCAGUGUGCAUCAGAUGUACUGUAGGUUCGAUUCCUAUCUUGUCCA